Molecule: ribosomal RNA, 552 nt
Filed under: Escherichia coli
Lineage: Bacteria; Pseudomonadati; Pseudomonadota; Gammaproteobacteria; Enterobacterales; Enterobacteriaceae
Description: bacterial SSU rRNA
Rfam family: Bacterial small subunit ribosomal RNA
Source: RNAcentral
GAACCCUGUAGAGAUACGGGGGUGCCUUCGGGAACUGUGAGACAGGUGCUGCAUGGCUGUCGUCAGCUCGUGUUGUGAAAUGUUGGGUUAAGUCCCGCAACGAGCGCAACCCUUAUCCUUUGUUGCCAGCGGUCCGGCCGGGAACUCAAAGGAGACUGCCAGUGAUAAACUGGAGGAAGGUGGGGAUGACGUCAAGUCAUCAUGGCCCUUACGACCAGGGCUACACACGUGCUACAAUGGCGCAUACAAAGAGAAGCGACCUCGCGAGAGCAAGCGGAUCUCAUAAAGUGCGUCGUAGUCCGGAUUGGAGUCUGCAACUCGACUCCAUGAAGUCGGAAUCGCUAGUAAUCGUGGAUCAGAAUGCCACGGUGAAUACGUUCCCGGGCCUUGUACACACCGCCCGUCACACCAUGGGAGUGGGUUGCAAAAGAAGUAGGUAGCUUAACCUUCGGGAGGGCGCUUACCACUUUGUGAUUCAUGACUGGGGUGAAGUCGUAACAAGGUAACCGUAGGGGAACCUGCGGUUGGAUCACCUCCUUACCUUAAAGAAGC